AUACGUAGGGGGCGAGCGUUGUCCGGAAUUACUGGGCGUAAAGCGCGCGCAGGUGGCUUGUUAAGUCAGGUGUCAAAAUGCGGAGCUCAACUCCGCAGCGCACUUGAAACUGGCAGGCUUGAGUGCAGGAGAGGAAAGUGGAAUUCCUAGUGUAGCGGUGAAAUGCGUAGAUAUUAGGAGGAACACCAGUGGCGAAGGCGACUUUCUGGACUGCAACUGACACUGAGGCGCGAAAGCUAGGGGAGCAAACAGGAUUAGAUACCCUGGUAGUCCUAGCCGUAAACGAUGGGUACUAGGUGUUGGGGGUGACAAUCCUCCAGUGCCGCAGUUAACGCAUUAAGUACCCCGCCUGGGGACUACGGCCGCAAGGCUGAA
RNAcentral lists this ribosomal RNA (375 nucleotides) under uncultured bacterium. Its description in RNAcentral is "bacterial SSU rRNA". It matches the Rfam family "Bacterial small subunit ribosomal RNA", at positions 523 to 898 of the family's 1533-position model. The record is from RNAcentral.